UCAAGCAAAAAAGAGCGCAGGGUGGAUGCCUUGGCACUAAGAGCCGAAGAAAGACGUGAUAAGCUGCGAAAAGCUGCGGGGAGGAGCAAAUAUCCACUGAUCCGCAGAUGUCUGAAUGGGGAAACCCGCAUGAGCACACCUCAUGCAUCCAUACGCCAAUCCAUAACGUAUGGAGGGGAACCGCCUGAACUGAAACAUCUAAGUAGGGCGAGGAAGAGAAAGAAAAUUUAUCGAUUUCCAAAGUAGCGGCGAGCGAAAUGGAAAGAGGCCAAACCGGAGUGCGUGCACUCCGGGGUUCGGACCGCAUUUAAGAUUCAGUGAUUCUAGCAGAAAGGUUUUGGGAAAGCCUGCCGGAGAGGGUGAAAGCCCCGUAAGCGAAAGAGGAACUGACUGAGCGGUAUCCAGAGUACAUCGAGACACGAGAAACCUUGAUGGAAUGAGCGGGGACCACCCCGUAAGCCUAAAUACUCCUUAGUGACCGAUAGCGCAUAGUACUGUGAAGGAAAGGUGAAAAGGACCCCGGGAGGGGAGUGAAAGAGAACCUGAAACCCUGUGUUUACAAGCUGUGGGACAUCUUUACAUGAUGAACCGCGUACUUUUUGUAGAACGGUCCGGCGAGUUGCGGAUGCCGGCAAGGUUAAGCACUUAAGGUGUGGAGCCGAAGGGAAACCAAGUCUGAAGAGGGCGCAUAUAGUCAGUAUCCGCAGACCCGAAACCGGGUGAUCUACCCAUGUCCAGGUUGAAGUUGCCGUAAAAGGCAAUGGAGGACCGAACGCACAUCCGUUGAAAAGGGUGGCGAUGAGGUGUGGGUAGGGGAGAAAUUCCAAUCGAACCCGGAGAUAGCUGGUUCUCCUCGAAAUAGCUUUAGGGCUAGCCUCGUUUUAGUCUUAUGGAGGUAGAGCACUGAAUUUCCGCGGGGGCGUCAAAGCUUACCAAAGAAUAUCAAACUCCGAAUGCCAUGUAGAUGAUGAACGGGAGUCAGACUGCACGAGAUAAGUUGGGCAGUCAAAAGGGAAAGAGCCCAGACCGCCAGCCAAGGUCCCAAAGUGUGUGUUAAGUGGAAAAGGAUGUGGGAUCUCCAAGACAACUAGGAUGUUGGCUCAGAAGCAGCCACACAUUCAAAGAGUGCGUAACAGCUCACUAGUCGAGAGGUCCUGCGCCGAAAAUGUCCGGGGCUGAAACACAACACCGAAGCUGCGGAAUUGCGAAUGCAAUUGGUAGAGGAGCAUUCUUAAUACCGACGAAGCUGUACCGGAAGGAGCAGUGGAGGGAUAAGAAGAGAGAAUGCCGGAAUGAGUAGCGAGAGAGAGGUGGGAAUCCUCUCGGCCGAAUAUCCAAGGUUUCCAGAGUAAAGCUGAUCUGCUCUGGGUAAGUCGGGGCCUAAGGCGAGGUCAAGAGACGUAGCCGAUGGACAACAGGUUUAGAUUCCUGUACCGCAUAUAAACAGAACUGUGGGGACGCAUGGGGAGAGCAUGGGCCGGGAAUGGAAAUACCGGUGCAAGCGAAGGAGGUGUGCAGCCGGCAAAUCCGCUGCAUGAGCCGAAAGCGUGACGCGGAGCGAAAUGAAAGUAGCGAAGCAUGUGAGCCCUGUGCCGAGAAAAGCCGCUAUAGCUUUAUAUGUGCCCGUACCGUAAACCGACACAGGUGGAUGAGGAGAGAAUCCUAAGGCCGGCGGAAGAAGUAUUGUUAAGGAACUCGGCAAAAUGACCCCGUAACUUCGGGAGAAGGGGUGCCCACGGGAGUGGGCCGCAGAGAAUAGGCUCAAGCAACUGUUUAGCAAAAACACAGGUCUAUGCGAAACCGAAAGGUGAAGUAUAUGGGCUGACGCCUGCCCGGUGCUGGAAGGUUAAGAGGAGAGGUUAGAGCAAUCGAAGCUUUGAAUUUAAGCCCCAGUAAACGGCGGCCGUAACUAUAACGGUCCUAAGGUAGCGAAAUUCCUUGUCGGGUAAGUUCCG
Molecule: ribosomal RNA, 1955 nt
Filed under: human gut metagenome
Description: bacterial LSU rRNA
Rfam family: Bacterial large subunit ribosomal RNA
Source: RNAcentral